This is a long non-coding RNA of Juglans microcarpa x Juglans regia, 238 nucleotides long. RefSeq lists it as uncharacterized. The record is from RefSeq and is a predicted model, not a curated record. The transcript is spliced from 3 exons. Lineage: Eukaryota; Viridiplantae; Streptophyta; Magnoliopsida; Fagales; Juglandaceae.
UUUACCUCAAUAUACUUACAUCAUACCCAAGGACAUAUUGUAUUAAAGUCAAACUAACAAAACAUCCCAACAUGGGACCCAUCAUAAAAACAUAAAGACAUAACCAUUAUCAUUAAAAUUGAACCGACAGGGAAUUCUAAGCAUCAGCCCCUCCCUCCUCAGCAGUGCCUAGCUCCCCAGCCUCAUCGUUCAUACCUGGACGUUUAAAACAUAAACACAAAGUGAAAAUGAAGAGAAA